RNAcentral lists this ribosomal RNA (315 nucleotides) under Triticum aestivum (bread wheat). RNAcentral describes it as "partial small subunit ribosomal RNA". Lineage: Eukaryota; Viridiplantae; Streptophyta; Magnoliopsida; Poales; Poaceae. The record is from RNAcentral.
AUGCAGGGUAUGGCCUUGGCCAUGUAGCAUUCCGAUCUUCCAGUGGUCAUGCAAACGGACUCAUCGGAAGCCCUGUCUAGCUUGACUAAUGGUGCGUUGGUUCACUCGCGAUACGAUCAUAUAGUUCUGGAAAUCAAAGAUCUGCUUGGUAGUAGGGAGUUUUUUUCAUAAAAGAUUAGUAGACUUCAAAAUAGAGUUGCCGAUCGUCUGGCGAAAUAUAGCCGGUCCGAACGAGCUACGGCUGUGUGGCUUGGUUCAGCUCCACCAUGUAUCGAGGACAUUUGGCCCCUCGACUGUAACUCUAUUCAUAUGUAA